Molecule: ribosomal RNA, 460 nt
Filed under: uncultured bacterium
Lineage: Bacteria
Description: partial 16S ribosomal RNA
Rfam family: Bacterial small subunit ribosomal RNA
Source: RNAcentral
CCUACGGGAGGCAGCAGUGAGGAAUAUUGGACAAUGGACGCAAGUCUGAACCAGCCAUGCCGCGUGCAGGAAGGCGGCUCUAUGAGUUGUAAACUGCUGUUGUACGAGGGUAAACUCAAAUACGCGUAUCUGUCUGAGAGGAGCGUACUAAUAAGGAUCGGCUAACUCCGUGCCAGCAGCCGCGGUAAUACGGAGGAUUCAAGCGUUAUCCCGAUUUAUUGGGUUUAAGGGGUGCGUAGGCGGUCGGAUAAGUUGUGGGUGAAAUCCCGAGGCUCAACUUCGGAAUUGCCUGUGAUACUGUUCGGCUAGAGAGUAGUUGCGGUAGGCGGAAUGUAUGGUGUAGCGGUGAAAUGCUUAGAGAUCAUACAGAACACUGAUUGCGAAGGCAGCUUACCAAGCUACUUCUGACGCUGAGGCACGAAAGCGUGGGGAGCAAACAGGAUUAGAUACCCGAGUAGUC